AGAGUUUGAUCCUGGCUCAGGACGAACGCUGGCGGCGUGCUUAACACAUGCAAGUCGAACGGAAAGGCCCUUCGGGGUACUCGAGUGGCGAACGGGUGAGUAACACGUGGGUGAUCUGCCCUGCACUCUGGGAUAAGCCUGGGAAACUGGGUCUAAUACCGGAUAGGACCGCAUGCUUCAUGGUGUGUGGUGCAAAGCUUUUGCGGUGUGGGAUGAGCCCGCGGCCUAUCAGCUUGUUGGUGGGGUAAUGGCCUACCAAGGCGACGACGGGUAGCCAGCCUGAGAGGGUGACCGGCCACACUGGGACUGAGAUACGGCCCAGACUCCUACGGGAGGCAGCAGUGGGGAAUAUUGCACAAUGGGCGCAAGCCUGAUGCAGCGACGCCGCGUGAGGGAUGACGGCCUUCGGGUUGUAAACCUCUUUCAGUAGGGACGAAGCGAAAGUGACGGUACCUACAGAAGAAGGACCGGCCAACUACGUGCCAGCAGCCGCGGUAAUACGUAGGGUCCGAGCGUUGUCCGGAAUUACUGGGCGUAAAGAGCUCGUAGGUGGUUUGUCGCGUUGUUCGUGAAAACUCACAGCUUAACUGUGGGCGUGCGGGCGAUACGGGCAGACUAGGGUACUGCAGGGGAGACUGGAAUUCCUGGUGUAGCGGUGGAAUGCGCAGAUAUCAGGAGGAACACCGGUGGCGAAGGCGGGUCUCUGGGCAGUAACUGACGCUGAGGAGCGAAAGCGUGGGUAGCGAACAGGAUUAGAUACCCUGGUAGUCCACGCCGUAAACGGUGGGUAAUAGGUGUGG
Molecule: ribosomal RNA, 800 nt
Filed under: uncultured bacterium
Lineage: Bacteria
Description: bacterial SSU rRNA
Rfam family: Bacterial small subunit ribosomal RNA
Source: RNAcentral